Molecule: ribosomal RNA, 458 nt
Filed under: uncultured bacterium
Lineage: Bacteria
Description: partial 16S ribosomal RNA
Rfam family: Bacterial small subunit ribosomal RNA
Source: RNAcentral
CCUACGGGUGACUGCAGUGAGGAAUAUUGGUCAAUGGGCGAGAGCCUGAACCAGCCAAGUCGCGUGAGGGAGUACUGCCCUAUGGGUUGUAAACCUCUUUUGUCGGGGAGCAAAAGCCGGAAGUGUUCGGCUGUGAGAGUACCCGAAGAAAAAGAGUAGGCUCACUCCGUGCCCGCAGCCGCGGUAAUACGGGGGAUGCGCGAGUUAUACGGAUUUAUUGGGUUUAAAGGGUGCGCAGGCGGGCUUUUAUGUCAGCGGUAAAAGCACGGGGCUCAACCCCGGCGGGCCGUUGAAACUGGCGGGCUUGAGUUGGAGAGAAGUACGCGGAAUGCGCGGUGUAGCGGUGAAAUGCUUAGAUAUCGCGCAGAACCCCGAUUGCGAAGGCAGCGUUCCGGCUCCACACUGACGCUGAGGCACGAAAGCGUGGGUAUCGAACAGGAUUAGAUACCCGAGUAGUC